RNAcentral lists this ribosomal RNA (705 nucleotides) under uncultured Methanosaeta sp. RNAcentral's name for it is "bacterial SSU rRNA". It matches the Rfam family "Archaeal small subunit ribosomal RNA", at positions 173 to 879 of the family's 1478-position model. Lineage: Archaea; Methanobacteriati; Methanobacteriota; Methanomicrobia; Methanotrichales; Methanotrichaceae. The record is from RNAcentral.
GAAUGCAUCGAGCUGNAAAGCUCCGGCGCUCAAGGAUGGGUCUGCGGCCUAUCAGGUAGUAGUGGGUGUAGCGUACCUACUAGCCUACGACGGGUACGGGUUGUGAGAGCAAGAGCCCGGAGAUGGAUUCUGAGACACGAAUCCAGGCCCUACGGGGUGCAGCAGGCGCGAAAACUUUACAAUGCUGGAAACAGCGAUAAGGGGACCUCGAGUGCCAGGUUACAAAUCUGGCUGUCGUGAUGCCUAAAAAGCAUUGCAUAGCAAGGGCCGGGCAAGACCGGUGCCAGCCGCCGCGGUAACACCGGCGGCUCGAGUGGUAACCGUUAUUAUUGGGUCUAAAGGGUCUGUAGCCGGCCGGAUAAGUCUCUUGGGAAAUCUGGCAGCUUAACUGUCAGGCUUUCAGGAGAUACUGUCUGGCUCGAGGCCGGGAGAGGUGAGAGGUACUUCAGGGGUAGGGGUGAAAUCUUGUAAUCCUUGAAGGACCACCAGUGGCGAAGGCGUCUCACCAGAACGGACCUGACGGCAAGGGACGAAAGCUAGGGGCACGAACCGGAUUAGAUACCCGGGUAGUCCUAGCCGUAAACGAUACUCGCUAGGUGUCGGCAACGGUGCGACCGUUGUCGGUGCCGUAGGGAAGCCGUGAAGCGAGCCACCUGGGAAGUACGGCCGCAAGGCUGAAACUUAAAGGAAUUGGCGGGGGAGCAC